This is a long non-coding RNA of Oncorhynchus tshawytscha (Chinook salmon), 332 nucleotides long. The record is from Ensembl. Lineage: Eukaryota; Metazoa; Chordata; Actinopteri; Salmoniformes; Salmonidae.
UGGAGGAAGAGGAGAGAGAUGAGGUGGAGGAAGAGGAGAGAGAUGAGGUGGAGGAAGAGGAGAGAGAUGAGGUGGAGGAAGAGGGGAGAGAGAUGAGGUGGAGGAAGAGGGGAGAGAGAUGAGGUGGAGGAAGAGGGGAGAGAGAUGAGGUGGAGGAAGAGGAGAGAGAGAUGAGGUGGAGGAAGAGAAGAGAAGAGCAAGAUGAGGUGGAGGAAGAGGAGAGAGAUGAGGUGGAGGAAGAGGAGAGAGAGAUGUCUUCUCACCAAAGUCUGGCGUGUCUCUCUUCAUCUCCUCCAGAAACAUCACCUUCUUCCUCACAACAGAGCCGUAGC